GCAGGAACUAGUGACAGAGGGAAGCUCUUGUCACCCCUGCACCUGGAGGGGACAAGGAGAGGGAGCUCUCACCAGCAGGUGGCAAGAGAAGGAGCCAUGCAGGAGGGGCCCCCAACAGGAGCUGUGUCAGACAGUGACUUGCAAAUGCCUUUCUGCCUGGGGGUUUCAAGAGCAGAGAUGGAGUUGGAUUACAGCAGGCCCUGAGCUGCUUGAGGCAUACAGUGAGAUGAGUGUUGACCCCGUCUUGUAAUAACACCACAAUCCAGAUACAGAACAGCCCCGUCCACCCCCAGUGUCCCUCAUGCCCCUUUGUAGUUCACCACCCCCACCAAGCCCUGCAGCCACCGAUCUGAUUUCUGCCCCUGAAGUUUUGCUUUUCCAGAAUGUCAUAUCUAUAAAUGGAGUCACGCAGUA
This is a long non-coding RNA of Suricata suricatta (meerkat), 414 nucleotides long. RefSeq lists it as uncharacterized. The transcript is spliced from 2 exons. The record is from RefSeq and is a predicted model, not a curated record. Lineage: Eukaryota; Metazoa; Chordata; Mammalia; Carnivora; Herpestidae.